This is a long non-coding RNA of Scylla paramamosain (green mud crab), 591 nucleotides long. RefSeq lists it as uncharacterized. NCBI's taxonomy places the organism in Eukaryota, Metazoa, Arthropoda, Malacostraca, Decapoda, Portunidae. The transcript is spliced from 4 exons. The record is from RefSeq and is a predicted model, not a curated record.
CGAACCUCCUGCGGGCGUGUCUCCGGUAGCCACGGUACACCAAGCCGCGCCCCACGAACGAUUCCGCUGGUGGUGCGUUCGUUUGUGGGUCAGGGGUGAAAGGUGAAAGGGUUAAGUUAGGUUAGGUUUUGUUUGUUUAUUUGUUUGUUAAAGGUGAAAGGGUUAAGUUAGGUUAGGUUUGUUUGUUUGUGAAGGGGUGAAAGGGUUAAGUUUUGUUUGUUUGUUUGUUUGUUAAAGGUGAAAGGGUUAAGUUAGGUUAGGUUUUGUUUAUUUAUUUGUUUGUUAAAGGUGAAAGGGUUAAGUUAGGUUAGGUUUUCUUUGUUUAUUUGUUUGUUAAAGGUAAAAGGGUUAAGUUAGGUUAGGUUUUGUUUGUUUAUUUGUUUGUUAAAGGUGAAAGGGUUAGGUUAGGUUAGGUUUUGUUUGUUUAUUUGUUUGUUAAAGGUGAAAGGGUUAAGUUAGGUUAGGUUAGGUUUUGUUUGUUUGUUUGUUUGUUAAAGAUGAAAGGGUUAGGUUAGGUUAGGUUUUGUUUGUUUAUUUGUUUGUUAAAGGUGAAGGGUUUAAGUUAGGUUAGGUUUUGUUUGUUUAUUUGUU